Molecule: ribosomal RNA, 896 nt
Filed under: uncultured archaeon
Lineage: Archaea
Description: bacterial SSU rRNA
Rfam family: Archaeal small subunit ribosomal RNA
Source: RNAcentral
CCCGACUGCUAUUUGGGUGAGAAUAAGCCAUGCGAGUUGAAUGGAAUACCUAAAUUUUCCAUGGCAAACUGCUCAGUAACACAUGAUCAACUUACCCUAUAGAGAAAAAUAACCUCGGGAAACUGAGGAUAAUGUUUCAUAGUUGAAAAGGCUUGGAAAAGUUUUUCAAUUAAAGGGAUAAGAAAAAUGGUUCUUAUCUGCUAUAGGAUAGGAUCGUGGUCGAUUAUGGUUGUUGGUGAGGUAAUGGCUCACCAAGCCGAUAAUCGAUAGGGGCCGUGAGAGCGGGAGCCCCGAGAUGGGUACUGAGACAACGACCCAGGCCUUACGAGGCGCAGCAGGCGCGAAACCUCCGCAAUACACGAAAGUGUGACGGGGUUACCCAAAGUGUUCAAUUUUGAACUGUGGUAGGUGAGUAAUGUUCCCUACUAGAAAGGAGAGGGCAAGGCUGGUGCCAGCCGCCGCGGUAAAACCAGCUCUUCAAGUGGUCGGGAUAAUAUUGGGCUUAAAGUGUCCGUAGCCGGUUUAGUAAGUUCCUGGUAAAAUCGGGUAGCUUAACUAUCUGUAUGCUAGGAAUACUGCUAUACUAGAGGGCGGGAGAGGUCUGAGGUACUACAGGGGUAGGGGUGAAAUCUUAUAAUCCUUGUAGGACCACCAGUGGCGAAGGCGUCAGACUGGAACGUGCCUGACGGUGAGGGACGAAAGCCAGGGGAGCGAACCGGAUUAGAUACCCGGGUAGUCCUGGCCGUAAACGAUGCAUACUAGGUGAUGGCACGGCCAUGAGCCGUGUCAGUGCCGAAGGGAAACCGUUAAGUGUGCCGCCUGGGAAGUACGGUCGCAAGGCUAAAACUUAAAGGAAUUGGCGGGGGAGCACCACAAGGGGUGAAGCCUGCGGUUCA